This is a small nuclear RNA of Peromyscus eremicus (cactus mouse), 105 nucleotides long. NCBI's taxonomy places the organism in Eukaryota, Metazoa, Chordata, Mammalia, Rodentia, Cricetidae. The record is from RefSeq and is a predicted model, not a curated record.
GUGCUCGUUUUGGCAGCACAUAUACUAAAAUUGAAACGAUACAGAGAAGCUUAGCAUGGCCCCUGCUCACUUUAUACACUUAUCACAGGGCCUUAGGAUUUUGAA